GGGGGUAUAGCUCAGUUGGUAGAGUGCUUGCCUCACAUGCACUAAGGCCCUGGGUUCAAUCCCCAGCAUCAUCA
Molecule: non-coding RNA, 74 nt
Organism: Ictidomys tridecemlineatus (thirteen-lined ground squirrel)
Lineage: Eukaryota; Metazoa; Chordata; Mammalia; Rodentia; Sciuridae
Source: Rfam